GAGAAGAUUGCCUUAUGGGACAUCAGUGAGGCAGAGAUGCUAAUGAAACCACAGCAGCCAGCCCUGCAAAUGGGUCACCGUGCUUUAGGUUUGCUGAAGUACGGCCAAGGGACUGGAUUCUCCUUGAGAGGCAGGAAUUCCAAACCACACAAACUGCAUUUAGACACAUCUCAGCGUCACGCUCCUGCAUUCUGGGUCCAAUGCCCAGGUUACUGCAAGAGGAACUAAGAGGAACCAUUCAACACCAAGACACCAGAUGUGCAAGACGCCAGUACACUUUUUGCCGAUGGAGAAACUCCACUACUGACCGUAAGACCCUGAGCCCCCAAGCUGGGAUUCUUCAGCUGGGCUGCGGGCUGCACAGAGAGGGAGUUCUGUGUGGCCCCGGAAGCCUGUUUAAGGCCCAAUGCCUGGAGCUGAGCCUGAGAGGGAGAGGCUGAGGAUGCCCCCUGCUGGCUGCGAAUGGCAAGGUUCUGAACCUGAAACACAACAUGCAACACAGAUGCGCUACAAUCCACGUGUUUCGUGAAAGCACCAGCUGGGAGUGUUGGCGUGCGGUACCUGAUCAGAAGAAGACUGUUGACUAGAAGGUAGCGAGGAAGCCUCGGGGUGCAUGGCCGUGACGGUGGCGGUGGGGGUGAAGAUGAGCUGGAGGGACAAAGGAACAGGACAAUCCAGGCUACUAACUACCUUCACAAGGUUCUUUUGCCUGGAAACCACACAAUAAGGCACGACCGCACACAUCCUAUCCCAUAUCUCAGCCACUCUAUGAAACGAGGCUGGUAGCAGCAGGACCGCAUUUAGAAACGAUCAUUCAUGCACUGCGUUUUCUAUUUGGAGCACGUAAUAAAAAACACCAGCUCGUCUACGAAAAAGGGUGAGUAACGUGAACACGUGCAAAUGAAUUAUUCGGUACGUAAAGGGAAAAUCCCAUGCGGUGUUUCUCAGUCAGGAUGACAGAUAUCCAUUCUAUGGCUUUGACUUGAUUAAUUUCAUUAAUUUCAUGUAUUUAUGUGUGACAGUAGUGCUCAUUUUCACCCACUGGAGAAACACAGGAUUUCCGGCGUACAGUCAUUGUGGGGAGAAAAGUAUAAAAGGGUUUUUGUUCUUCCCUAUGGGUUCCCGUUAAGUUAUUAAGAAGUUACUGUACAACUAGCUUAAAUACCCUUGUUUAAUGGAAUGUUAAAUAAUACCCCCCCCCUCCCAGCCCCAGGCCAACAACCACACCAUCGUAGAAAACAGUGUGGUUCUCUUACAUUGUGACUCUGACUGUAACCCACAUUUGAGUAUAAUCUUCCAGACAGCUCUCAGACGGUGCUACUCUGAUUUCAUGGUGUGAAUUUGAUAUGCCAGUCUUUAGCCUGGGGAGGUAUUUAAUACAGACAUCACUCUGCACAAUGCAGACUACCUCUUUCAUUUGCAGUGUACUCAUUUAAACUGGUUACAACUGAAAAUAACGCAGAGAUAUAUAGACCUCUUCUUAAGGUCUAUAUAUUGUGCUUUAUAGAUCAAAUUGGGCUUUUCAAUCUACUCCUUGUAAUAAAAGCGUGAUGUUUCAAUAGCUCACAAAGACAUCCAGCAAGACUGGUUUGACUGGGAAAGUGUCACAGAAAAUAGAUUUAUGGGAAACCUGUAUUAACUAGUUCACACAUACUUUUUCCAACAAAUUAUUUAGAAAUCAGUUUUUAAAUGUUAAUGUCUUAAUAAGUAACCGAAGUACAACCUACUGUUUGGCAAUACUUCAGUUAAAGAUGUAUAUAUAAUAUAUUGGUUCUGAAAAUUAGACUGCUGAUCACAAUAGUUAAACGUUAAAACGUAUCUAAUUUUAAGCCACCUUGGAUGAAUUCUGUGUUUAUCAUGCGCAUCUCAGAAUCCAUUUCUGUACCUUAAAAGGUACAAUUACCUAAGCUAAGGGUACAGUUGGUAGACCCUUGUGGGUACAGCCCCAGUGACCAGCAAAAGUAUAAUUUGUAACCUUUUUCUGAGAGUGUAGAUUCAGUUAGGCUGCACGCUAACUUUUGGCUAAAUAAGAUAAAUGUUACUUAACCUGUUGCUUUAAACUAAUAUUUAUCUCUGUUGUUGACUGGCUGCUUCCAGUAGGUUGGAGGUUUCGAACUGGCAACCUUCCGAACAAGGGCAAACAGCCCUAUCCCACCAAGUCAGUCACCCCUCUCGAUCACACUUCCCCUCACAAAUAGCUUCUACAAGACUCCCUCUGCAGUCUUGUGGUCUGACAGCACUUACAGGGUUAACCUGAGAAUGCUGUUGUCUCACAAAUCAGAAUUUUAAACACCCAUAUACAGCCCCACUUCGCAACAUUGACUUUUGGGUUUAAGACCAAGAAUCAUCCACAUUUCCUUUUCUUCAAUACUGUCCUGCAACAGCUUGCUUCCUGAUGGGAGAGCACAGCAGUAUCUAAGCCAGUCUUUCAGCUGCAGGAAAACUAAAGUUUUCCUAUAAAAUGCAGAAUUAAUAGCGCUGUUUUCAGUGUUCACACUUGCUUUCCUCAGCCUGCUGGGGGCAGGGAAGUCUCCAUGUUGGACGGACGCCCGUUUGACCCAGGAAAACUUUGUUAGCUGAUAAUGCAGAAACAUUUCAGCACCUUCUCUGUUCAUAUUCCCAGCCUGCUCCAUUGAAUCUUAAUUUAAGUCCAAGGCUUUAUUUUUGCAGUGGGAAAAAAACAACAGUUUAUCCAAUGGAAAAAAUGAAUAUAUAUGACAAGUAGCCAUAUGUACACUGAACAAAAUAACACUCGACCAGCUAUUUUCAGCAACUUCUCAUAACUUUUGGCUCUCAUAUUUUUCCAAAAAGAAAAACUAUAGGAUAUUUCAGUUUUUCCUCGAUUGCUUUGGCACAUUUCAUGAAACACAUUUAACAUCCUCGAUGCUAUAAGAGCAUUUCUUAAAACACUUCAUGCAUACAUCACAACACUGGUUUGUAACUCAUGUCUCAAAAGCGAAUAAUUCCACCAAUGAAUCAGUCAGUGCCACCAAAAUGAAAAGAUCAAUAAGCAUCGUUUUAACCACGAGAGUCAAAAUGCUUAGAUAUAUUGUCGGUAGGGGUCACAUGUGUGUGGAGUUUGCAUGUUCUCCCCAUGUCGCCAUGGGGUUUCCUCCGGGUACUCCGGUUUCCCCCCACAGUCCAAAAACAUGCUGAGGCUAAUUGGAGUUACUAAAUUGCCCGUAGGUGUGCGUGUGAGAGUGAAUGGUGUGUGAGUGUGCCCUGUGAUGGGCUGCCCCCCCCCCCCAUCCAGGGUUGUUCCCUGCCUCGUGCCCAUUGCUUCCGGGAUAGGCUCCGGACCCCCCGCGACCCAGUAGGAUAAGCAGUUUGGAAAAUGGAUGGAUGGAUGUUGUCGGUAUGUCAGUGUCAGUCUGCUGCUCCUGAGCUCCACAAUGCUGAACAUUAGUCAUUUCCCACUUUCUCACUGUCACUGACUGAUCAUUUUUCUUUAGCAAACUGUUACUUAUUCAUGUCAAAGACCCCAGUUUCUAUGCUGCGAGGCUCUUCGUUACAGUGUGUAAAGUUCACUGGCAAGAGAAACCAUUUGCAUGCAUAUGUAAUUUCUUCAGAUCUCAAGACGCGGUACAGUAGCAAACAAAGUCACACAGCACAGUAUAACACAAAAUCAGCAAAAUGGUAACAAAAUAAUGUACCGUGGGAGCGAAAAAUUCAGUGCUGUAUCAUUGCAAUUUAUUGAAUAUAUUAUUUUGACAGCUUGGUUAACUGUUUUGCAUGUGGUGACUAACACGAUGAUCACAUACAAGGAUUGUGUUGACUGUAAAAUUAUUACAAUGGCAAACUACAUAAUCUGUUUUGACCAACCUGACUAAAGCAACUGAAAAUUGUGCCAAACGAUGGCAGUUGUACAAAACUAUUAGCAUAUAUGUAUGCUAAUUUACUAUUCACUAAAACAUUUGGAAAUUUAUGUGAAGCAAUGAGAAAUGAUGUUCUGCUGAGCAGAAGUGACAUUAUGGUGUGGGCAUUACACUUGUUUUGUUUUGCAAAUGCUAAUUGCCGUUUGAGAAAUGCUCCAAAGCAAAUCGAGAGAAACUGUAAAGCCAUAAUUCUCAAGCUCAUAUUAAAAAUGUAAAUCUAAAAAAAGAAAUAACCUUUAUAAUGUGCUUACAUUUUUGUUGGAAUGGUGUAAAGAAUCAGUGAAGCAUUAUCUGUUACACUGAAGAAUGUUCAGCCAGAUAUUAAUGGCUGGGUAGGUUAUUUGUCAGCAGACAGAGACUGUUUGAAAAUGUUUGGCAUAAUAAAUAACAAACAUGCAGAUACAGACACCAGAUGAAGCCGUAGUUCAAAGUCACGGACUGUACGUAAGAAUGUUACACACUGCGUCAUGGAUGACGCAUUUGCGUGGACACAAGCAAGCAAGCGAGUUCCGCGCAUAGAGACGCAGCCCAGGGCAGCAGAGGAACAGAGACCAUUAACAAGACGGAGAACGAUCUCAUUUGCUGUACGCUGCGUUCAAGUCUGCAUUACGCUUUUGGGGG
This is a long non-coding RNA of Brienomyrus brachyistius, 4496 nucleotides long. RefSeq lists it as uncharacterized. The record is from RefSeq and is a predicted model, not a curated record. Lineage: Eukaryota; Metazoa; Chordata; Actinopteri; Osteoglossiformes; Mormyridae. The transcript has 3 exons.